CCUACGGGUGGCAGCAGUGGGGAAUAUUGCACAAUGGGGGAAACCCUGAUGCAGCGACGCCGCGUGAAGGAAGAAGUAUUUCGGUAUGUAAACUUCUAUCAGCAGGGAAGAACGGUCACUGUGCUAAUCAGCAGUGAAUUGACGGUACCUGCAAAGGAAGCACCGGCUAACUCCGUGCCAGCAGCCGCGGUAAUACGGAGGGUGCGAGCGUUAUCCGGAUUUAUUGGGUUUAAAGGGUGCGCAGGCGGCCUGUUAAGUCAGCGGUAAAAGCCCGGGGCUCAACCCCGGCGAGCCGUUGAAACUGGCGGGCUGGAGUUGGAGAGAAGUACGCGGAAUGCGCGGUGUAGCGGUGAAAUGCUUAGAUAUCGCGCAGAACCCCGAUUGCGAAGGCAGCGUACCGGCUCCACACUGACGCUGAGGCACGAAAGCGUGGGUAUCGAACAGGAUUAGAUACCCUGGUAGUC
Molecule: ribosomal RNA, 464 nt
Filed under: uncultured bacterium
Lineage: Bacteria
Description: partial 16S ribosomal RNA
Rfam family: Bacterial small subunit ribosomal RNA
Source: RNAcentral